Ornithorhynchus anatinus (platypus) is the source of this 72-nucleotide non-coding RNA. The record is from Rfam. Lineage: Eukaryota; Metazoa; Chordata; Mammalia; Monotremata; Ornithorhynchidae.
AGCAGCGUGGUUUAGUGGAAAGAGCAUGGCCUUGGAAGUCAGAGGUUGUGGAUUCUAAUCCUGCCUCUGCCA